CAAACGACUCUCGGCAACGGAUAUCUCGGCUCUCGCAUCGAUGAAAAACGUAGCGAAAUGCGAUACUUGGUGUGAAUUGCAGAAUCCCGUGAAUCAUCGAGUCUUUGAACGCAAGUUGCGCCCGAAGCCAUUAGGCCGAGGGCACGUCUGCCUGGGCGUCACGC
This 164-nucleotide ribosomal RNA is filed under the name Dipsacus asperoides. RNAcentral's name for it is "5.8S ribosomal RNA". It matches the Rfam family "5.8S ribosomal RNA". Rfam says of the family: 5.8S ribosomal RNA (5.8S rRNA) is a component of the large subunit of the eukaryotic ribosome. It is transcribed by RNA polymerase I as part of the 45S precursor that also contains 18S and 28S rRNA. Lineage: Eukaryota; Viridiplantae; Streptophyta; Magnoliopsida; Dipsacales; Caprifoliaceae. The record is from RNAcentral.